AACGAACGCUGGCGGCAGGCCUAACACAUGCAAGUCGAACGCACCGCAAGGGGAGUGGCGCACGGGUGAGUACCGCGUGGAUAUCUGCCUUUUGGUUCGGAAUAACCCUGGGAAACUGGGGCUAAUACCGGAUGGCUCAUACGGGAUAAAGAUUUAUCGCCAAAAGAUGAGUCCGCGUACGAUUAGCUAGUUGGUGAGGUAAUGGCUCACCAAGGCGACGAUCGUUAGCUGGUCUGAGAGGACGAGCAGCCACACUUGGGCUGAGACACGGCCCAGACUCCUACGGGAUGGAGGAGUGGGGGAUAUUGGAAAAUGGGGGCAACGCUGAUGCAGCCAGGACGGGAGAGUGAUGAAGGCCGGCGGGUUGGAAAGCUCUUUUAGCGGGGACGAUGAUGACGGUACCCGCAGAAUAAGCCCCGGCUAACUUCGUG
This 431-nucleotide ribosomal RNA is filed under the name uncultured bacterium. Its description in RNAcentral is "partial 16S ribosomal RNA". It matches the Rfam family "Bacterial small subunit ribosomal RNA", at positions 29 to 507 of the family's 1533-position model. The record is from RNAcentral.